Molecule: unclassified non-coding RNA, 337 nt
Filed under: soil metagenome
Description: partial contains 5.8S ribosomal RNA, internal transcribed spacer 2, and large subunit ribosomal RNA
Rfam family: 5.8S ribosomal RNA (bases 1-120)
Source: RNAcentral
GAUGAAGAACGUAGCGAAAUGCGAUACGUAAUGUGAAUUGCAGAAUUCAGUGAAUCAUUGAAUCUUUGAACGCACAUUGCGCCCGCCAGUAUUCUGGCGGGCAUGCCUGUCUGAGCGUCAUUUCAACCCUCAAGCAACUUCUGCUUGGUGUUGGGGAUCGGCCGUCAAACGCCGCCCCCGAAAUCUAUUGGCGAUCUCGCUGUAGCUUCCUAUGCGUAGUAGUAACAUCUCGCAUCUGGAGAGCGGCGCGGUCAUGCCGUAAAACACCCAACUUCUCAGGUUGACCUCAGAUCAGGUAGGAAUACCCGCUGAACUUAAGCAUAUCAUAAGCGGAGGA